This 275-nucleotide ribosomal RNA is filed under the name uncultured prokaryote. RNAcentral describes it as "partial 16S ribosomal RNA". It matches the Rfam family "Bacterial small subunit ribosomal RNA", at positions 524 to 798 of the family's 1533-position model. The record is from RNAcentral.
UACGUAGGUGGCAAGCGUUAUCCGGAAUUAUUGGGCGUAAAGCGCGCGUAGGCGGUUUUUUAAGUCUGAUGUGAAAGCCCACGGCUAAACCGUGGAGGGUCAUUGGAAACUGGAAAACUUGAGUGCAGAAGAGGAAAGUGGAAUUCCAUGUGUAGCGGUGAAAUGCGCAGAGAUAUGGAGGAACACCAGUGGCGAAGGCGACUUUCUGGUCUGUAACUGACGCUGAUGUGCGAAAGCGUGGGGAUCAAACAGGAUUAGAUACCCCGGUAGUCCCU